UAUAAUACUUCAUAAAAUACGAUAUAAUCAUCUAAAUUUUCUUUUUAUAGAUUUUAAAGAACCUGCAGAAUAUAUAAUUCGUAUCUGUUCUACUACUAUCUAAGUUUUACAAUAUAAAAAUUUUUUCGAAGUAGAUAACGAAAAUCGUUAAGCAAAGAAUUUCUAAUCAAUUAGAUUAUACGAUUCAUCCUAUAUCGUUUAAACUAAUUCAGGACGAACGGAUUAUAUUCUUUUUCAUUUUCUUGUUAACAAAGUCGUAAAUAGAUGAAUAUAACAAUGACGAAAGAAGAUAAUGGAAAAUUAAAUAGAUAUAAUAAAAAGAAAAAGGAAAAGAUAGAGAAAGAAGCUUGAUUGUUCCUUCCGUUUAAACUUUAUAAUUCAGACAUAAGGAACGCGCGAAUCUGCUUGAACUUUCCAUUCACGGGCCCUUUGAAUCGUAUGCCUGUCGUCGUCGUCGGGCGUGCGUUUCUUCGUCCCACUUAUUCCUCCUUGCUUUCUCCUUUUUCUUCGUCUUAAUCCAUCCUCGCUGCUAUAUCUUGCGACGGAUUCGCCGCGUUGUUACGUCUGCCGGCACCUUGACACGUUUACCCCGACACGCGUGCUUAAAUGCGCAGAUAAGAUUUCGAUUUUAGCUUUUCCAUUUUCGAUUAGCCACAAUUUAAAAAUCGAUGAUAUAAUAGCGAAAUUACAUAUUUCGAAUCAUGAGAAGAACAUAAGGGAAAUUGACAACGAACUCAUCAAGGAUAUAUUUUAUACAUAUAUGAAGGAUAAAUAAUAAGGUAGCAUCGAGGAAGGUGGGAAACGCAGGUGAGGAUGGUGCAGUGCGUUGUCCAGCGGGUUUCACGAGGGGUAGCCUCUGGUCUCUCCGCUGCGGAUGAAUUCCCGCAUAUCAUUUCGGUCGACUGAUAAAAAGGCUUGGAGGCUGGCUCGUCGCAAUGGACGACGAGGCGUAUACGGACAAAAAAGCCGUUGGGAGGGGAAAAGACUCGGAGGUCGGACACACAUACAUAUAAAGACAUACAUGAAGCACACAGUAGAUACAUAAGCGCAGAGAAGGCAAAAGGGGAGGGAGAGGGAGAGAGAGAAAGAGAGUGAGCGUGAGCGAGGACGAAGCGACUGAGUGGAGAGCGUAGCUCGAGCUCGGUUGCUAAGGGGUGUAGAGACGGCGAGAGGGGGACGACGCGCUUGCCGUUGGAAGACGGGGCGGAGGGGUGCAGACGUGUACGUAAACGACGUGAAUCCGGGUAAAGGGGAGCGUCACCACCAUCGCCACCGCCACUAACGCCGUCCUCGCUGCUCUGCCGUCGCGAUGAUUUGACUCUUCUGACUCUGACUCUUUCUCCUUCUCUCUCUUUCUCUUUCUCUCUCCCUCUCUCUUUUUCUCUCUCGUCGUUGUCGUUCGUGUCCUUCGUUUAGCUCUAGCGAGCCUCUAGCGUGCUGAUUCUAGCUUGACGCUCGUGCGCGCACUCUAAGAAACUCGAUGUGCAGUCGUAUGCGCCCACUGCCAGGGCUGUAUCAUUUUCCUUUGCCACGAGUGUUCUUUGCUCUCUUUCUCUCUCUUACUCUUUAGUGUGAAAGAAAAUAGUCAUGUUCUUUGCUUUAGUCUCUUCACUACCAAACGAGAAGAGAAGGUCCAUUUUGAUGAAUGUAACGAACAGUUUCCUUUCGCAGAAAAUUCGUUAGAGUGAGGUUGAAAAAACGAAAAGAAUUGGAAGUGUCGCGACAUCAACUCGUGAUCCCUGGAUCCUCGAUGUGGCCCCGAACGGUGGUAUCUAGGGAGCUUGGAGAUCCAAUGGAAGCCAAGUCGCGUAGAAGGGAUACUAGAGUAGGAGGUGGCAGUUAUGGCGCCUGCCGUUUGCGAGGAAGAAGAAGAGACGAAGAAAGAGGAGAGAGAGACCGAGUCGAAGAGUACUACACGUGUCGCGGCAGCGGGGUGUUGACCCCAAAUAGCUUUUUUAACGUGACGUAACUGAGAAAGGGUUGAGAAAUGGCCAAGUGCUUGAGCUCGACGCGAACCGAAUGACUUUUCGAAUGAACUCUAAGCUAAGCGUCUUUGAGAGCUCUUCAUAUUUUCGAAUUAAACGAUGAUACUGAUUUACAUUGCUCGAUUAAAAAAAAAAGAAAAUAAACAGGAAACGAAUUUCAAUCGUCUUCCUUUAAAAGAUAAAAAAAGAUAUUAAUAAAUACUAAACCGUGAACAGUUUUCACGUUCAUCCAAUUAAAGAAGACAUUAUUUUUCUUUUUUCUUUUUUUCUAACAAAGGAUACCGAAAGAGAACCUGUUUCGAAUGAAUGUUCGGUGAACAGUAACGUUAUGACUGUACAUAUUAGGUAUAUACGUUAUGGCCUUGUCGGACGAGGAACAUAGCACGAUGGAUCACAUUAAUGUUUCAGGCGAUCGUAAGCGAUGAUGCAGGCCAACGUUCGCUACAACUUAUGUAACUGUAGCUUAUGUGUACAAAUACUAUAUAUAUUUGUAACUUAUGUUCUACGAAUGAUUUUUGAAAGGAUAGCCAAAAUAAAAUCUAAAUUUUGAAGACUA
Vespa velutina is the source of this 2541-nucleotide RNA transcript. RefSeq lists it as uncharacterized. The transcript has 3 exons. NCBI's taxonomy places the organism in Eukaryota, Metazoa, Arthropoda, Insecta, Hymenoptera, Vespidae. The record is from RefSeq and is a predicted model, not a curated record.